This 253-nucleotide ribosomal RNA is filed under the name uncultured bacterium. RNAcentral describes it as "partial 16S ribosomal RNA". It matches the Rfam family "Bacterial small subunit ribosomal RNA", at positions 524 to 776 of the family's 1533-position model. The record is from RNAcentral.
UACAGAGGUCCCAAGCGUUGUUCGGAUUCACUGGGCGUAAAGGGUGCGUAGGUGGUGAGGUAAGUCGGAUGUGAAAUCUCCGGGCUCAACCCGGAAAUGGCAUUGGGAACUACCUUGCUUGAGGAUUUGAGGGGGGAUUGGAAUACUUGGUGUAGCAGUGAAAUGCGUAGAUAUCAAGUGGAACACCAGUGGCGAAGGCGAAUCCCUGGAAAAUACCUGACACUGAGGCACGAAAGCUAGGGGAGCAAACAGG